RNAcentral lists this ribosomal RNA (416 nucleotides) under uncultured bacterium. Its description in RNAcentral is "bacterial SSU rRNA". It matches the Rfam family "Bacterial small subunit ribosomal RNA", at positions 354 to 773 of the family's 1533-position model. The record is from RNAcentral.
GUGGGGAAUCUUGCGCAAUGGGCGAAAGCCUGACGCAGCGACGCCGCGUGGGGGAUGAAGCAUUUCGGUGUGUAAACCCCUUUCGACUGGGACGAAUACCUCGCAAGAGGGGUGACGGUACCAGUAGAAGAAGCCCCGGCUAACUACGUGCCAGCAGCCGCGGUAAGACGUAGGGGGCCAGCGUUGUUCGGAAUUACUGGGUGUAAAGGGUUCGUAGGCGGUGUGGCAAGUCGGGAGUGAAAUCUAUGGGCUUAACCCAUAGGCUGCUUCCGAAACUGCCGUGCUUGAGUGUGGGAGAGGCGCGUGGAAUUGCAGGUGUAGCGGUGAAAUGCGUAGAUAUCUGCAGGAACACCCGUGGCGAAAGCGGCGCGCUGGACCACUACUGACGCUGAGGAACGAAAGCUAGGGGAGCAAAC